GUGGGUAUAGCUCAGUGGUAGAGCAGGUUCUUAUCAUGCAUGAGGUCCUGGGUUCAAUCCCUAGUACCUCCA
This 72-nucleotide transfer RNA is filed under the name Camelus bactrianus (Bactrian camel). It matches the Rfam family "tRNA". From Rfam's summary of the family: Transfer RNA (tRNA) molecules are approximately 80 nucleotides in length. The record is from Rfam by way of RNAcentral. Lineage: Eukaryota; Metazoa; Chordata; Mammalia; Artiodactyla; Camelidae. RNAcentral also lists the same sequence under 2 other names.